This 390-nucleotide unclassified non-coding RNA is filed under the name soil metagenome. RNAcentral's name for it is "partial contains 5.8S ribosomal RNA, internal transcribed spacer 2, and large subunit ribosomal RNA". The stretch from base 2 to 121 matches the Rfam family "5.8S ribosomal RNA", at positions 37 to 154 of the family's 154-position model. The record is from RNAcentral.
GUGAAGAACGCAGCGAAAUGCGAUACUUGGUGUGAAUUGCAGAAUCCCGUGAACCAUCGAGUCUUUGAACGCAAGUUGCGCCCGAAGCCAUUAGGCCGAGGGCACGCCUGCCUGGGCGUCACACGUCGUUGCCCCCCCAUCUACUCCUUCGGGAUUGCGGGGGGCGGAUGAUGGCCUCCCGUGCGCCUCGCCGCGCGGUUGGCAUAAAUGCCAAGUCCUCGGCGACGCACGCCACGACAAUCGGUGGUUGCGAAACCUCGGUUGCCCGUCGUGUGCGGUCGUCGCGCAUCGAGGGCUCGAAAAAAUUGCCGGGUUCCGGCUCGGCUUUCAACGCGACCCCAGGUCAGGCGGGGUUACCCGCUGAAUUUAAGCAUAUCAAUAAGCGGAGGA